RNAcentral lists this ribosomal RNA (253 nucleotides) under uncultured bacterium. RNAcentral's name for it is "partial 16S ribosomal RNA". It matches the Rfam family "Bacterial small subunit ribosomal RNA", at positions 8 to 253 of the family's 1533-position model. The record is from RNAcentral.
AAAGUUUGAUCAUGGCUCAGGAUGAACGCUAGCUACAGGCUUAACACAUGCAAGUCGAGGGGCAGCAUGAACUUAACUUGCUAAGUUUGAUGGCGACCGGCGCACGGGUGAGUAACACGUAUCCAACCUGCCGAUGACUCGGGGAUAGCCUUUCGAAAGAAAGAUUAAUACCCGAUGGCAUAGUUCUUCCGCAUGGUGGAACUAUUAAAGAAUUUCGGUCAUCGAUGGGGAUGCGUUCCAUUAGGUUGUUGGG